Molecule: ribosomal RNA, 253 nt
Filed under: uncultured bacterium
Lineage: Bacteria
Description: partial 16S ribosomal RNA
Rfam family: Bacterial small subunit ribosomal RNA
Source: RNAcentral
UACGGAGGGUGCAAGCGUUGUCCGGAUUUAUUGGGUUUAAAGGGUGCGUAGGCGGCCCGUUAAGUCAGCGGUGAAAUCCCGGGGCUCAACCCCGGAACUGCCGUUGAUACUGGCGGGCUUGAGUUCGGUGAAGGCGGGCGGAACUGGCGGUGUAGCGGUGAUAUGCUUAGAUACCGCCAAGAACCCCGAUUGCGUAGGCAGCUCGCUGUGCCGAAACUGACGCUGAGGCACGAAAGCGUGGGGAGCGAACAGG